Non-coding RNA from Paramisgurnus dabryanus, 699 nucleotides. The record is from RefSeq and is a predicted model, not a curated record. NCBI's taxonomy places the organism in Eukaryota, Metazoa, Chordata, Actinopteri, Cypriniformes, Cobitidae.
GUGGUUUAAAGACGCGUGUAUACAAGUGCAUGUGUGGACUCUCACCAGGCAUUCAAGCAGUCGGGCGGGACGAGAGAUGAUGAUGAGGAGUUUCUUCACCAGCUCAGUGAUGAAGAAGUCUCUCCAGGUUCUCCUGCAGCUCAUAGAAGUAAACAGUGGUGAUGAGGCCUUCGCGCGAUUUGGUCAGGCAGUUUCGGGACAGCUCAGCAAUCUGGUGGUGGAUGAAACUGAGGACCCCGUCGGCCAGCGGCAACACGUUCUCGGGUGAGUAGGACUCGAUGAACUCAGCCAGGCGCUCCUCCAUCUGAGCCGUGGCCUGGACACGACACACAGACAGCGUUCAUAAGCAUUUUUAUGGUUGCAGGAAGGUGAGCGCCCGGGACUAUAAAAAGACAGAGAAGAAGAAAGUGAAGGACAAAACGAAGAGGAAGAGCAAGCUGAAGUGAAGAGGGAUUCUCGCGAAAUUAGACUGAUGAGGUGUCAUGAAACAUUAAAUGCUAUCAAAAUAAGAAGCAUGCAAUUACAAACAUCUCUUCAUGUACUAUUUUGCACAUAAUUUCAAAUGACAUCAUACAAACCAAUUCUGUUGCUUUUUCCACAUUUAAGGGGAAAAUUUUCAUUACCGCAAUGUGUCCAUGACUGGAUUUGGGUUCUUUGACAUGGAAAUAUUUAUUAUUAAAAAAUCUAUAAAAUAUAAAG